GUGGGGAGUCUGCGCUUCUCCUUCCUCGACCUAGUUAGGCUGAGCGUGGGAGCGGGAAGGAGGGCCCAGCGGGAGGGACGCGCUCGCUGGACGCUGCUCGGCAGCCUCCCUCCCUCCUCUGCCGGCCCAAGGGUCGGGUCAGUUGGUGGCAGCUGGCAAGCCCAGCGUUUUCUGGGCUCGGUGGGGCAGCCCAGGCCAGGUGCAGAUGGCUCAGCUGGGGUGCGUGUGUGUCCCCACGGCAUGGCUCGCUGAUGUCCCCCAGCGCUGCUGGCCUGGCCCACUGGGGUGGAUGGAAAGCUACUCCAGGGAGAAGUCGGAUUCUUAAAGGCCUGCUGGACGACAGGUGAUUUCACGCCAAGGUCCCGGGUCGGCAGAGGGACGGGGUGGGGGGGAUGGUUUCUGCUGACCCAGCUCUCCUGGCCCUGGCCAGCACCUCCAGCCUGAGAUGCCUGCUUCCCU
This 459-nucleotide long non-coding RNA is filed under the name Heterocephalus glaber (naked mole-rat). RNAcentral describes it as "lncRNA (ENSHGLG00000032228.1)". The record is from RNAcentral. Lineage: Eukaryota; Metazoa; Chordata; Mammalia; Rodentia; Bathyergidae.